UCACUUGUUCUUUAAAUAAGGACUAGUAUCAACGGCAUCACGAGGGUUUUACUGUCUCCUCCCCCCGAUCAAUGAAACUGAUCUCUCCGUGAAGAAGCGGAGAUUUAACUAUAAGACGAGAAGACCCCAUGGAGCUUCAAACCUACUACACCCCCAGUCCAAAUACCCAUACACUAAUAGGGCCCUGUAUGUAAUGGUUUUAGGUUGGGGUGACCGCGGAGCACAAAUCAACCUCCACGAUGAACAGGACUAACCCUUUAUCUAAGAAUCACCACUCUAAGAAUUAGUAUACUAACAUCAAAUGAUCCGAUAUUCGAUCAACGAACCAAGUUACCCUGGGGAUAACAGCGCAAUCCACUUCAAGAGCCCCUAUCGACAAGUGGGUUUACGACCUCGAUGUUGGAUCAGGGUAUCCUAGUGGUGCAGCAGCUACUAAAGGUUCGUUUGUUCAACGAUUAAAACCCU
Molecule: ribosomal RNA, 465 nt
Filed under: Spinomantis sp. 8 MV-2009
Lineage: Eukaryota; Metazoa; Chordata; Amphibia; Anura; Mantellidae
Description: partial 16S ribosomal RNA
Rfam family: Bacterial large subunit ribosomal RNA
Source: RNAcentral